This 450-nucleotide ribosomal RNA is filed under the name uncultured marine bacterium. RNAcentral describes it as "bacterial SSU rRNA". It matches the Rfam family "Bacterial small subunit ribosomal RNA", at positions 360 to 804 of the family's 1533-position model. The record is from RNAcentral.
AAUAUUGGACAAUGGGGAAAAGCCAGAUCCAACCAUUCCGCAAGGGGGAAGAAGGUCUUGGAGAUUGUAAAGCACUUUAAGUUGGGAGGAAGGGCAUUAACCUUAUUCUCCAGGGUUUGAACGUUACCGGCAGUAUGAGCACCGGCAUCCUUCGUGCCAGCAGCAGCGGUAAUAGGAAGGGAGCGGACGCAAGUCUGAUCUAGAAUGAUUAAGGCGAAAGUAGGUGUAUGUGGAAGUGGAUCGAAAGUCAAAUCCCAGGGCUCAACCCUGCAUCCAAAACUAAACUACCAGAGUGGAGUAGAGUAGGGGCAGAGGGAAUGUGUAGCGGAGAAAUGAAAAGAUUAGAGAUGGGACAGCACACCAGAAGGGGAACCACUGGACUGAUACGACCAUGGCAGUGAGAAACGAAAGGGAGCAAACAGAAUUAGAUACCUACCACUGCAGUCCGUA